UCCACCCUCAAUUCCUGACUUUUACCUCACUAUGUAGAUUUUUUAUUUUUCACUUAUUCAUUUUGUAUUUCUUGAAACUUAUUUGUGCUAAUUUUUUCUUCAGGUGGCAUUGAUGCUUCUUAUCUUACAAAUCAAUAUUUGGCGUAAGUUUCUUCGUAUGGCUUUUUUAUCAUUUUGGUUAAUUUGUAUUAUCUUUUUCUUUUUGAGUUGUUCUCUAUGGGCACUGCUUAUUAUUGGUUAAAAAUCCUUUUUGAGAUUCCUUUCUGUGCUUUUCCUUAUCAUGAAUGGUCUGCCUAAUUUAGAUGAGACACGGACUCAAUUUGAGCACAUUGUAGCCAUGAAUCAAAAAAAUCCUACAUAUAGGUUUUUAUAUGUUAAUAGGUACUUGUCAACAUCGAAUGGGAUUGAAAGUAAUGCUGUACAUGACUUAAGGUUGGGAGGAUUUUCUAGACUGCAAAUUGCAUUAUAUUGAGGAUCUGUUUUAGAAGCUCUGGUUUUAAUAAGAGUGGAGGGGGCAAGACUAAUUUAGAUGGGGGAUAGGAAACAUGUCUUAACUGUGGGCUGCUUGUUACUGCUUCGUGUGAUGGGUGGAAAUAAUUUUGUACUAUAUUUUGAAGUUUUUAGAUGUAAGAAUGGAUUCUUAGACUUUUUGUGGGAGCAUAUAAGCUAUUGUUUACUUGGUCAUUCCUCCAAUACCAUAGGCGAGUCUUUGAAAAACAAGAGAAUCACGUCAAGACUUAUCUAAAAUGUUUUCAUCUCAGGGCCCUAUUGCAUAAGAAAAACAAAAGAAUCACAUUUGAUAAGAAAUAAUUAAUGUUUUAUUAAUUUCCAUGCUCAUCUAUGAAAUAAUGAGGGCUUAUUCAAAAUUUACUACAACGUCUUCUUAUCUUUCUUUAUCCAAAUUUAUUGAAAAAUCUUCUUAUUUAUUAUUCUUCCCUCUGUCAAUUUUCGUAACAUGAUAUUGAAACAAUAUAUUUUUUGGGCUCAUGCAAUCUCUGGUACUUUGCUAACAAAAUAUGAUUCAAAAAUUGAGUACAUGCAUUUUAUGAAUGAAGCUGUCAUCAUUCCCUCAUUUCAGCUUUUAUCCUCUUUGUGCCUCAGGCUCAGUACUACAAUAAAAAUAGACUAGCAAAACAACGAUCACAUGUUACAGACCAGAAAUGUAGUUGCUGAUUUUGACACAAUCGUUUACAUUCUAGAAAUGAACCUAGAAAUGCAGUGGCAAGUAGUUGUUGAAUAGUAAAUUUUUCAACAACAAUUUAUUUGUUUGACACGAGUGCAUGAUUGGUACAAUGUGCUAAAAACUAAUUUUAUGCGUAUUGAAUUUUAUUUAUUUUUACUGUCAACAACAUAGGUUAUUCCAAUGCCAUCAAAGCUGAAGCCACCACCCCCAAGACCUUUGAAUGGUUCUAUCACGCAGGCGAUCACUCAACCUAGCACGUAGCCUUCACCUACCAUGCAGUCUGCACUAGCCACUUUGCCAACAGAAACAAGUAGUUCUAUAAUUGUUAUUUAACUCUUACUUCAACUUUUUUUCUUAUUGACAUUUAUUGCUUUAACACUUGCAGCAUUCCCAAUCGAGUGUAAGCGAUGUGGUCGUACUUGUGGCUUAGACACAUCCCAGAUAGUCAAGGCCACUCAUAGGAAGCUGGAAAUCAUGUAUGAAGAUAGCAAUGGAAGACCAUCUAGUCCUAAUGCUAGUCUAUUUGUAUCUGAAAUAGGAUCUGGUGUGAGAAUAUUUGCACCUCUCCAAAAGAUCUUUUAAAAAGAUGUGUCUGAAUUUGAAAAAUUCCCUAUUUAUGACAAAGUGGAGGUAACAUUAUUGUUUUAACUUGUUUUGUUUCUUGUCCUAGUACAACUUGUACGCAUCUUUUUCUUUCUUUAAACAUUUCAUUGCUGAAGAAAGGAAUAAAGUUAAUAACAAGUUAGUAUACCAGGUAUCAAAUUGACAGGUUCUCUAAAUGAUUAGAAGUCAAUAUCUUAAUUAAAAAUAUUGGAUGUUUGCAUAUGUUCAUUGACAUGUAUGCAUAUCUUGAAUGAUCUGAAUUGCUGGCACUUUGAUUUUGGUUGCUUGGAGUAGCAACUUCAUCCAAUAUAUUUGUGUGAAUUUUGUGCUCGUCAUUGUGUUUUCACUCAUGGUAUGUUGCUAUAUAUAGGCUAUUUUUGAUGUACAAUAUGAUAAAUAUGCAACUCUCAAAGAGAUCAUGGAGAAAUCAAUGGCCACUUCCUCUAAGGAGUUUUGAUAUGAGCUGCACACACAUCACAAGAAGUUUCUGGACCAACCAAUGGCUCAUAGGAAAGCUAAUAAGCCUAAAGAAAUCUGACAUGAGGUUGAUUGGGAUUAUUUGAGUAACUAUUAGGAAAGUGCGAUUUUAGGUGCAUUUAUAUAUAGUAUGACUUCCAUUUAUGUUCAAUGGUUAACUUAUUUAGUUCAUUGACUUUCUUUGUUCUGUUAAUUGGACAUUACAAAAAAAGACCAAGGUAGCAAUUGACAAUAGAUCCCGACAAGAAUUUACCCAUUUUUCUUGUUCUAGAUCAUGUAUUCAAUGUCAGGCUAUGUGGGUAAGUAAGAAGGAAUAUAUUCAUCUCUAUUAGGAAACAAUUUCAAUUCAAUUCAAUUUUAUUCUUAUUUCUUCUAAUAGGAUAAUGAAACUGGACGACCAGACAAAAUUCAACUACGGAAGAACACACAUUACAAGGAUACAAAAGGCUAGAUCCAUCCUGUGGUUGAGGAGAAACAUGUAAUAAACAAAUAAUAUAAGUCUUUAAGUUUAUUAUUACUUAAUGGACUAAAUAUUUUUCUACCUUAUUUGUGUUAAUACUUUCCUAUUGUCAUGUAGAAAGAGAUGGUAGACAUACAAAAAACACAACAAGCACAUGUUGUGGGAGAGAAGAGUGAGAUCCAAGGAGUAUAGCUCACUGCUAAUGACAUUUUGACUCAGGUCCUUAGAGCUACUUCUUACUACUAUACGGGUUUGGGCAGGGGUCCAAAGAUUCAACGUGCUACAUCUUGUGUAGACACAACUCAAUGAGAGAAUGCCAAGGUUCGCCAAGUCAUGCAUAAUUUGCAGAGCCAAAAUGAGUGUACUCUCGCUUUGUUAAAAGAGAUUAUGCCAGUUGCCAUCGCUAGAAUAGGUAGCCCUAGAGUUCCUACUAAUCCUCAUUCGUCUUCGUCACCAUCAUAACCUGAUCACGAGUCACAUGAUGAUCAUUAGUUUAAAGCUCUUCUAUUCCAUUUACAUGGUUUUAUAUUUUAAUGGUUAAUACUCCAUUAUAACAUAUGCUAUUAUUUUUGGAUUAAGCUAGCUUUCUCUUAUAUAUGAAUUUGACUAGGCUCUUUAUUUUGAAAUCCAUUAUAGUUUGGGCAUGUAACGUAGUUACUUAUUCUGAAAUUGGAAUUGACUGGUAAAGAUAUGAUAUAGUAUUUUGCCUUGCAAUUGUUUUGCUACAGGCUUUUUAUUGUGAUUAUUAUUUUGUGAUUUCUGAUAUUUCUUGAAUUUGAACUUUUAUUGGUACAUUAUUUUCGAGUUGGCCAUUCUACCUUUCUUAUAACUUUGAUUCUCGGCCAAGGUUGUAAAAAAUAAAAUAAAUCACAAUUAUUGAGGGAAACCAUAAUCAGAAAAAGCAGUUCCUGACCAAUUUCACUUGAUCUCUCCCUCGGUAAAUGUCACUUGACUUUUUUGGUCGGCAAAUGU
Molecule: long non-coding RNA, 3695 nt
Filed under: Olea europaea subsp. europaea
Lineage: Eukaryota; Viridiplantae; Streptophyta; Magnoliopsida; Lamiales; Oleaceae
Source: RNAcentral